This 81-nucleotide transfer RNA is filed under the name hydrothermal vent metagenome. RNAcentral's name for it is "tRNA-Leu-TAG". It matches the Rfam family "tRNA". Rfam says of the family: Transfer RNA (tRNA) molecules are approximately 80 nucleotides in length. Their secondary structure includes four short double-helical elements and three loops (D, anti-codon, and T loops). The record is from RNAcentral.
GCGGGAGUGGUGGAAUUGGUAGACACGCUGGAUUUAGGUUCCAGUGUCCUAGACGUGAGAGUUCGAGUCUCUCCUUCCGCA